Long non-coding RNA from Serinus canaria (Common canary), 2740 nucleotides. RefSeq lists it as uncharacterized. The record is from RefSeq and is a predicted model, not a curated record. NCBI's taxonomy places the organism in Eukaryota, Metazoa, Chordata, Aves, Passeriformes, Fringillidae. The transcript has 3 exons.
AAAGUCACUGUUCCUGCUCCCUGACCUUCCUUCAACUCCUCUAGUGCAUUUGGAUAGUUUUUCAAAAAAUUGGAAAUAGUUCUUUUGUUGAAAAACAAAUUAUGAUGGCUGGGAAAAGCAAUUACCUGAAGCUGCACUCAUCAACAGUCCUUCAGAGAUAGAAAAAGGACACAGAAAUGUAAAUAUUAGUGGCAUUUGUGGAUGGGAAAAUUGCUGUAAGAGCUGAAGUACAUGUCAGAAUAUCUAACAGGAGUAAAAAUGGCCCUUCAAAUUUAAGCAACAGGCUUACUGAGAUGGAAGAGGGAACAUCUACUUUGGAACAGAAAGCUGUUAGUGGACAGAAAAACACAGAAAAUGUCAGGACAAAGGUGGAACUAAAUGUCUUCAAUUUGUCCCUUUGUGAGUGAUUUCAAGACAAGAUUGUAUGCUUCCAGCAGGAGGGGAUAGAAAGGGAAAACAAUCACCCAGUUCCAGGAAAGCAUGCCACAGUUGUUAAAAUUGUCUUCCCAAGCUAGAAAUCAAGAGAUCAGCAAGUGCCACUUAACACAACUGAGCAACAAUGCAAAUGCUUGCAUUUUCUAUCCUGUUCCUAACUAGAAAAGAAAAAUUACUCCUUUGAGGUGAAGUAUGUUUCUGUUCCAGUGCUGUACACAAAAAUUAGGUACUCAACCAUGUUUUUACCUCAGUUUUCAAUGGCAAGCUCUCUUUCCCCCUCUUGAGUGGGCAGCAGGAUGAGGACUGAAGGAAAAAAGUGCUCUUUACUGUAAUAGAUCAGGGUUGUGAUCACCUGAAGAACCUGAACAUAUGUGUCUAGGGAUCGGAUGAGAUGCUGUGUUGGCUUUGUCUGGGGUAGAGUUAAUUUCCUUCACAGAGUCUGAUAUGGAGCUGUAUUUUGUACUUGUGCUGAACACAGGGUUGACAAUACAGAGAUGGUUUUGUUAUUGCUCAGCAGGGCUUACACAGACCCAAGGCCUUUUCUUCUGUUUGUUCUUGCAUGCUGGUGAGGAAGUUGGGAGGAGACACAGCUGGGACAGGCAACCCCAACUGACCAAAGGGAUUUCCAGACCGUGUGACAUCAUGCUCAGGACAUAAAGCUAAGGGGAAGAAGGAAGAAAGGUGAUAAGGAACCCGAUCUCUUAAGAAAGGAAGCACUUUUCUCAUCCAGUCCCCACCUUGCUGUCCAUCCACUCAAGAGGCAUGGGAAGAGAGACGGACAAUGAAAAAAUUGCUGAGUAUCUCAGCCUCGUCUCAUCCAUCGUUUUCCAGUCAUGUCAUCAGAGGAGUACAUUUUCUUUCUUAAUAACCAUGGAGCAACCAAAACAGCUAUUUUAUAUAAGCAGAUUUACAUAUAUUACCUUCCUUUUGGUUUUUUAUGUAGGUUUGAAGAUGGAGAUCAGAAAACUAUUGACCAAGACAGAUGUGGUGGAAAGGGUAACAGUUGAAUGACAGGACGCAGCCUGUCUAAUACCUGUCAAAUGGUGAUGGCUUUCCUGAACCUUCUGCUGCAGCAGAUCAUCAGCUGUCACAUGGCUGCAGGCACCAGGAGUGGCUUGCUGAGAUCCCAUGGCAGCCCCUCACUGGCAGGCAUUUCCCUGGCAGCCCCUCUUCUUGCUGCCUUUGGGAAACACCUGCUACUUCACCUUCUGCCACCCAGCAAGCCAAGUAUGUGAGAGGAGGUUUCUCAGCCAAUGCCCUCCAGCAGCCGUGGGGCCACAGACACUCCUUGGGAGACAUCUCAUCUCACCUGGGCUCAGCUAGCUGCUGCUGGUGGCCACUGUGAAGAGUUUUCAGGGCCUCUCUAAAGACCAGGGGAGAGAGGUGAGCUGUGAGAUAGGUACCUGCCAGCUCUGCUGUCCCAGUUAUCGAUACCUAGCAUUAAGCACUCCUGGGGGUCAGACCAAAGCACAUAUACACUGUGAAAUUUCCUUUUUUUUUUAUUUGGCUUUUGGGUACACCAGAGACCAAGAUCAGGAAGUGACAGAAGUCUGUUCAGGCUUCCUUCUAAAAUGGUGAACAUGCUGAAGACUGCCUUCAGAGGAAACAGUGUUUGAGUUGGUACCCAAAGGUACCCUCCCUGAGGAGUUAUGGGGAAGAAUAUGCAGAAAUGGUUUUUAGGAAUAUCUAGAUGUUUUCCUCCAUGGAUAGUGCAAUGAAUGGGUAGGAAGUGGUAGUAGUAGUAAGGUCUCUGUGCUGGAGUGGGAAAAAAAUUAGAUGUUCUGUUGUCCAAAGAAAAAUGCACGUGCAUCACCAUGGCCCUUGCAUGCCACCACGGUCUAAAAAUUAGGAACUGACUUGUACACACAUCACUCAUAAGAGUGGUUAAAUGUGUACCUGAUUGACCUUAUUGCCCUACUAACUAAUUAGGCAACUUACGGGGACAGCCUCACAGACGGUAAUAUUUUCUUUCUUUGGACUUGUUCCCUUUUCCCAUAAACUGCACCCAAAAGUAUCCAUUAUCCAAUUAAGCCAUGGCAGAUGGUGAGAUGACAAAAAGCAUGAGUCAGUCGUGGUACUGUACUGUGUCAGGGAGCAGUAUUAAAGAAAGGGUUGUGUCUUCAUUGUGCUGGGAGCACAGCUCUGGGAAUGCCUUAUAUAUAGACCAGAUCUGGAGUUUACUACAUGAGGAGGUGUGUAACCACAAAGGUCAGAAGGGCAGUGAUGGGGGAGGCCUUUGCCAACAUUACACACAUUUCAAUGCAGUAGGGUGUUCUUAUGUUUCAAAGGCAUUUGAUGCAGGGGU